This 770-nucleotide long non-coding RNA is filed under the name Homo sapiens (human). RNAcentral describes it as "HSALNT0049786". Lineage: Eukaryota; Metazoa; Chordata; Mammalia; Primates; Hominidae. The record is from RNAcentral.
CUUCCCUCGGGGCUCAGGCUCCUGGACAGGCUCAGCCUUGGGCAGCCUUCGCCAGGUCCACAGAGAAUGGCGUUGGGAAGGGUGGACCUGGCGGAUGGGGUGGGGACAGGCGGGCCAGACCCUCCUUCGUACCCCAGCACAGGGCUCCCAAAUGAGAGGUCCCCAGCACUGCCCAGAGGAACUUCUGCGAUUGUGGAAAUGAUUCCUGCCUGCUUUGUCCAUUAGCCACUCCUCCCAGGAAGACACACACACUCACUCACUCCACCUGCCACGAAGGAACUGAACUUCUAACUGUAUUUAAUUCGCAUCUAAAUGGCCACACGUGGUUGGUGGCUGCUGUAGUUGACAGCGCUGCGUGAAGGCUCCGGCGCUUCUCGCACCGCAGGGCCCACAGCACAGACCACACCUGUAGACUUGGAGGAGUGGCAGGGGUGCCAGGAGAAUCCUGCCCUGCCCGUAGCCCCGGAUGAAAGGAUGACAUUGAGUUCGCGACGCUGCGCUCCUCGGGAACACGAACCACACCUGGAAGCAGCCUGCCCCUGUGGCCCCAAGGUUCCCGGGUCCCUUCAGCGGCUGCCCCAGGGGCCUGGCCGGCAGUGUCUGGGAGGGAGCAGCGAUCCCGCCUCCUGGGAUCUCCCGGGCGCCGCCCGGGGAGGAAGCGAGGGGCUGGGGGUGCUGCUCACCCGCUCCGCGCGCCUCGGCUCCCAACACAGCGCCCCGGCCCCGCGCCGCGCUCGAUUCCCCGGCUCCCCGCGCCCCUGGCUCCUGGC